Molecule: long non-coding RNA, 307 nt
Organism: Triticum dicoccoides
Lineage: Eukaryota; Viridiplantae; Streptophyta; Magnoliopsida; Poales; Poaceae
Exons: 2
Source: RefSeq, a predicted model, not a curated record
CUAGGAGAAGAAGGAGCAAUCCCAGGAGAAGCUCUGCCUCUACAGCCUCUACAAGCAGGCCACCGUUGGCCCCGUCAACACCGGAAUGCGUAUCCUUCAGGACAACUCAAGCCCCUCCUCCUCUCCUGUACAUGAAUGUGAGAUGCUGCGCAUGCAAGAUCUGAGCCAAAUGGCAUAUUGUAAUCUUUUUAUUGCUGGUUUUUAUGUACGAUGUCAUGAAGAUGUACGUUUGAAAUGUUGCUUUGAUAGCAAAAUUGUAUUCCUGUGUACAUGCUGCUUUGACAGCAAAAUUAUGAAAAUUUCUCAA